Molecule: non-coding RNA, 423 nt
Organism: Burkholderia sp. CCGE1003
Lineage: Bacteria; Pseudomonadati; Pseudomonadota; Betaproteobacteria; Burkholderiales; Burkholderiaceae
Source: Rfam
AAAGCAGGCCAGGCAGUCGCGGCCUCGGCGGUUUCACGAGUUGAAGCCAACGGGGGCGAGGAAAGUCCGGACUCCACAGGGCAGGGUGAUGGCUAACGGCCAUCCGUGGCGACACGCGGAACAGGGCAACAGAAAGCAAACCGCCGAUGGCCCGGCGCAAGCCGGGAUCAGGUAAGGGUGAAACGGUGCGGUAAGAGCGCACCGCGGCUGCUGCAAGGCAGACCGGCACGGUAACCUCCACCCGGAGCAAUUCCAAGUAGGCAGGCGCGCAUCUUCGAGAUGCAGGGCGGGGCCCCCGUCUCGUCUGCGGGUAGGAAGCUUGAGCGCGUCAGUAAUGGCGCGCCUAGAGGAAUGGCUGCCACGCGCGUCGCGUUUUCGGACGUUGCGCGUGCACAGAAUCCGGCUUAUCGGCCUGCUUUGCCA